CCGUGGUAAUUCUAGAGCUAAUACAUGCUGAAAAUCCCGACUUCGGAAGGGAUGUGUUUAUUAGAUAAAAAACCAAUGCCCUUUCGGGGCUUUUUGGUGAUUCAUGAUAACUUUACGGAUCGCAUAGCCUUGCGCUGGCGACGGGUUCAUUCAAAUUUCUGCCCUAUCAACUUUCGAUGGUAAGGUAUUGGCUUACCAUGGUUUCAACGGGUAACGGGGAAUUAGGGUUCGAUUCCGGAGAGGGAGCCUGAGAAACGGCUACCACAUCCAAGGAAGGCAGCAGGCGCGCAAAUUACCCAAUCCCGACACGGGGAGGUAGUGACAAUAAAUACUGAUACAGGGCUCUCCCUGGGUCUUGUAAUUGGAAUGAGUACAAUUUAAACCUCUUAACGAGGAACAAUUGGAGGGCAAGUCUGGUGCCAGCAGCCGCGGUAAUUCCAGCUCCAAUAGCGUAUAUUAAAGUUGUUGCAGUUAAAAAGCUCGUAGUUGAAACUUGGGCCUGGCUGGCGGGUCCGCCUCACCGCGUGCACUCGUCCGGCCGGGCCUUCCUUCUGAAGAACCUCAUGCCCUUCACUGGGCGUGCUGGGGAAUCAGGACUUUUACUUUGAAAAAAUUAGAGUGUUCAAAGCAGGCCUUUGCUCGAAUACGUUAGCAUGGAAUAAUAAAAUAGGGCGUGCGUUUCUAUUUUGUUGGUUUCUAGAGACGCCGCAAUGAUUAACAGGAACAGUCGGGGGCAUCAGUAUUCCGUUGUCAGAGGUGAAAUUCUUGGAUUUACGGAAGACUAACUACUGCGAAAGCAUUUGCCAAGGAUGUUUUCAUUAAUCAGUGAACGAAAGUUAGGGGAUCGAAGACGAUCAGAUACCGUCGUAGUCUUAACCGUAAACUAUGCCGACUAGGGAUCGGGCGAUGUCUUUUUUCUGACUCGCUCGGCACCUUACGAGAAAUCAAAG
This 950-nucleotide ribosomal RNA is filed under the name Alternaria botrytis. RNAcentral's name for it is "SSU rRNA". It matches the Rfam family "Eukaryotic small subunit ribosomal RNA", at positions 147 to 1103 of the family's 1831-position model. The record is from RNAcentral. Lineage: Eukaryota; Fungi; Ascomycota; Dothideomycetes; Pleosporales; Pleosporaceae.